Molecule: ribosomal RNA, 253 nt
Filed under: uncultured bacterium
Lineage: Bacteria
Description: partial 16S ribosomal RNA
Rfam family: Bacterial small subunit ribosomal RNA
Source: RNAcentral
UACGGGGGGGGCAAGCGUUGUUCGGAAUUACUGGGCGUAAAGGGCUCGUAGGCGGCCAACUAAGUCAUACGUGAAAUCCCUCGGCUUAACCGGGGAACUGCGUCUGAUACUGGAUGGCUUGAGUUCGGGAGAGGGAUGCGGAAUUCCAGGUGUAGCGGUGAAAUGCGUAGAUAUCUGGAGGAACACCGGUGGCGAAGGCGGCAUCCUGGACCGGCAUUGACGCUGAGGCGCGAAAGCUAGGGGAGCAAACGGG